UGGUUUACAGAAAAUGUUUUUUUAUGUGGCUGGAUUAGAAUUAGCUUGGAGGGGAUGUGAAGGUGUUAACGUUACUAUCAAACAUUUUAAGGAAGAAAGUGAUAAUUGUGGUUUGCCUACGGGGCGAAUAGAAUACAAUUGUAUUUUUUCCAAAACAGCUCAAGGAGGUAGCCAUAAAUUAACAGACAGCAAAUGGCUUGCAACAAACACCACAGAUCCUAGAAUUUGCCCUGUUAGGCUCUACAAAAAAAUGCUGAGCAAGAGAGGUAAACAUAUAACCACCGAUCGUUUAUUUUUAACGCCAAAUCCUGCAUGGAGAGAACCUAGUUCUGUAGGAUGGUUCAAAAAUUCACCCGUUGGAAGGAAUGAAAUGGGGAAAUGGACAAGAACCGCCGCAGAAGAAAUAGGCAUCGACAUAAAGAAAAAGAAGAUUAGUAAUCAUUCAUUACGGUCAACUGCAGUGUCGCAACUUGCAAAAGCGGGAGUCGGUGAAGAACAGCUUAUAAAGAUUACCGGUCAUGCCAAUACUUUCUCCAUCAAACCAUACCUUCAGCUCGAUGGAGAUCAUCAUUAUCAAAUGAUUGACAAAUUACGCGCCAACUCAACGGCUAUGGAAGAGUCUAAUAACAAAUCCACAAAUUGCGCACCGUCUGCUUUGGUACAAAUGUCUAAAAAUAUAGUUACUACUUCACCAAGCACACAAACCCCUGUAAAUUACUACAACUGUACCAUAAUUAAUUACAAUUCUUAGUUUCAUAAUUAAAUAUUUGGUUAGUAAC
Long non-coding RNA from Zophobas morio, 779 nucleotides. RefSeq lists it as uncharacterized. The record is from RefSeq and is a predicted model, not a curated record. The transcript is spliced from 2 exons. NCBI's taxonomy places the organism in Eukaryota, Metazoa, Arthropoda, Insecta, Coleoptera, Tenebrionidae.